GAUGAAGAACGGCAGCGAAAUGCGAUAAGUAAUGUGAAUUGCAGAAUUCAGUGAAUCAUCGAAUCUUUGAACGCACAUUGCGCCCGCCAGCACUCUGGCGGGCAUGCCUGUUCGAGCGUCAUUUCAACCAUCAAGCCCCCAGGGGCUUGUGCUGGGGCCCUGCGGCUGCCCGCAGGCCCUGAAAACCAGUGGCGGGCUCGCUAGUCACACCGAGCGCAGUAGCACAUCUCGCUCAGGGCGUGCGGCGGGCUCCUGCCGUGAAACCCCCCACUGUAACCCCAAAGGUUGACCUCGGAUCAGGUAGGAAUACCCGCUGAACUUAAGCAUAUCAAUAAGCGGAGGA
Molecule: unclassified non-coding RNA, 343 nt
Filed under: soil metagenome
Description: partial contains 5.8S ribosomal RNA, internal transcribed spacer 2, and large subunit ribosomal RNA
Rfam family: 5.8S ribosomal RNA (bases 1-121)
Source: RNAcentral